This 301-nucleotide ribosomal RNA is filed under the name uncultured bacterium. RNAcentral describes it as "partial 16S ribosomal RNA". It matches the Rfam family "Bacterial small subunit ribosomal RNA", at positions 509 to 807 of the family's 1533-position model. The record is from RNAcentral.
CAGUAGCCACGGUAAAACGUAGGGUGCAAGCGUUAAUCGGAAUUACUGGGCGUAAAGCGUGCGCAGGCGGUUUGUUAAGACAGAUGUGAAAUCCCCGGGCUCAACCUGGGAACUGCAUUUGUGACUGGCAAGCUAGAGUGUGGCAGAGGGGGGUGGAAUUCCGCGUGUAGCAGUGAAAUGCGUAGAUAUGCGGAGGAACACCGAUGGCGAAGGCAGCCCCCUGGGCCAACACUGACGCUCAUGCACGAAAGCGUGGGGAGCAAACAGGAUUAGAUACCCGUGUAGUCCCUGUCUCUUAUAC